RNAcentral lists this RNase P RNA (370 nucleotides) under Actinomycetota bacterium. RNAcentral's name for it is "Actinobacteria bacterium (freshwater metagenome) RNase P RNA component class A". It matches the Rfam family "Bacterial RNase P class A". Rfam says of the family: Ribonuclease P (RNase P) is a ubiquitous endoribonuclease, found in archaea, bacteria and eukarya as well as chloroplasts and mitochondria. Lineage: Bacteria; Bacillati; Actinomycetota. The record is from RNAcentral.
UGAGUCGGCCGGGCGGCCGCGUACCGGCACGACCGGUCCGAGGAACGUCCGGACUCCGUAGGGCACGGUGCUGGGUAACGCCCAGUCGAGGCGACUCGCAGGAAAGUGCCACAGAGAAGAACCGCCGAUGGCGGGGCGACCCGCACAGGCAAGGGUGAAACGGUGCGGUAAGAGCGCACCAGCACCCGGGGCGACCCGGGUGGCUCGGCAAACCCCACCGGGAGCAAGGUCAGACAGGGGGAGUGCGGCCCGCACGCAGACACCCCCGGGUGGACCGCUGGAGCCGGCGGGCAACCGUCGGCCGAGAGGGAUGGCCGCCACCGGACCGCACGGUCCGGCACAGAAUCCGGCGUACAGGCCGACUCACCAC